UUUGGUUUGGUUUGGUUCAAUACUGAUUCUGGUUAUUCUGGUUUUGCUGGUGGUUCUGAACUGUGAAUAAAAUGUCUCAUGACAGUACACAUCAUAGUGCACACAAGGUUGAACUCCAAAUAUACCCAUUUACAUGGGAAAUAGCACCACUUGAACACAAAUGUUGGUAGUCAUAGCAAUGAAAUAUCAGUUAAUAAUGCCAUCCACUUUAUUGUUUGAAGUUUUCCUACUUGUCUUUCUUCAGAUGUUGAACUUUUUAUUUGUACUUUUCUUUGCCGUAUUCAAUAAAAUCUUCCCCUUUUUUUUUGUUUUUUCAAAAGAAUAGCUCAUUUUCUCAG
This 338-nucleotide unclassified non-coding RNA is filed under the name Hevea brasiliensis (rubber tree). The record is from RNAcentral. Lineage: Eukaryota; Viridiplantae; Streptophyta; Magnoliopsida; Malpighiales; Euphorbiaceae.